UAUUGGUCAAUAGCCUAACGGCUGAACCAGCAACUAGGAGGAAUGAAUAAUUAUCGUAAAAGGUAAUUUUCUAUAAAAGAAAUUAAAUAUAGAGUUAACGUAGUUAAGUAAAAUUCCGAGUAUAGAUUGAUUAUGACAGUUUAUAUGAGAAUGUCUUGACCAAUUCAUGUGCCAGCAGUCGCGGUAACACAUGUAAGACUGGUGUUAUUCAUCUUUAAUCGGUUUAAAGGGUACCUAGACAGUUAAUUAAGCCUCAAAAGGUACUAAUAAACUAGAGUUUAAUGUAAGAAGAAGAGUACGGUGAGUGGAGAGAUAAAAUUCAGUGAUACCACUUAGAAACUGGCAAAAGCGAAGGCAAUCUUCUAUGUAAAAACUGACGUUGAAGGACGAAGGA
RNAcentral lists this ribosomal RNA (394 nucleotides) under Fissurina sp. Lumbsch 19174f. Its description in RNAcentral is "SSU rRNA". It matches the Rfam family "Bacterial small subunit ribosomal RNA", at positions 362 to 760 of the family's 1533-position model. Lineage: Eukaryota; Fungi; Ascomycota; Lecanoromycetes; Ostropales; Graphidaceae. The record is from RNAcentral.